GGCGCUGUGGCUUAGUUGGUUAAAGUGCCUGUUUUGUAAACAGGAGAUCUUGAGUUCGACUCUUAGCAGUGACU
Molecule: non-coding RNA, 74 nt
Organism: Xenopus laevis (African clawed frog)
Lineage: Eukaryota; Metazoa; Chordata; Amphibia; Anura; Pipidae
Source: Rfam